Molecule: ribosomal RNA, 87 nt
Filed under: Actinomadura lepetitiana
Lineage: Bacteria; Bacillati; Actinomycetota; Actinomycetes; Streptosporangiales; Thermomonosporaceae
Source: RNAcentral
GGUCCCAUCCCGAACCCGGAAGUUAAGCCCUUCAGCGCCGAUGGUACUGCAUGGGAGACUGUGUGGGAGAGUAGGACGCCGCCGGAC